This 65-nucleotide transfer RNA is filed under the name Myrsidea sp. ADS-2020. Its description in RNAcentral is "tRNA-Leu". The record is from RNAcentral. Lineage: Eukaryota; Metazoa; Arthropoda; Insecta; Psocodea; Menoponidae.
GAUAAGUUAGCAUAUUUGUGUAGUGAAUUUAGAACUCAAAGAAAAGGUUAUUUCCUUACUUAUCA